AGUUCUUAAAGCCAAGUUUUUCCAACUGCCUCUGGCCUUCAGCUUGUGUUCUUGCAUGUUGUCUGCCUCCUCUGAAGACGUGGAACGCCAGAGCCGCUCUGAUCCUUCCCCAGCUGCAGGGUGCAUUGGCUCUGACCAUACCAGGUGGGAUGAGACCCAGAGCAUCUGGUAUAGGUUUAAUAUAGCCCUCCUGCUUACACAGAAUGGAUGUGGACGAGCACAGAUUUUCACCGAGGGCUUAUUCUGCACUCUGGAACUUGCUGCACCCAGCCUGGCUUGGGGACUUUGCUGCAGGAUCUCUGCAAGGAUCCUGGGGUUUCACUCCCUCUUCUUGCUUCCCAUUUUUCCUGAUGACUGGGAGAGCCAUCCCUCGGCGGAGCUGCAAAAGAAAUGAUGGGGCAGGGAAGGGGCUCCUCUGUCCCUCCUGGCCUCGAGAGGCAGAGCUUGAGAUGUCCACCUUGAGCUGCUGGGAAUGAUCUUCCAUGCCUGGAUAGUACCCAAGGAGGUGAUGGCAUCCUGGAGCAAGACCUUGGGCAACCCGAACAUCAUCUGGAAAACUAACACAGAAACCCUGGAGCAGAUCACCGGUAACUGCAUCUUCUGUAGCAGGUCAAAAGGAGGACGAGAAGGGGCCAGACCUGCGGGGGACCGGAUUCAAAUGACUUGCUGCCUCUGUUACAGCUUGUAUGUGUCCAGAGCUUGUUUGUGAGUAAUUAACGCGGUUGUCUUAAGCAGGGCCACGGAGAGCAUGAUUAAGUAAUUAAUAGUAAUUAAAGGCAUGUUAUCCACA
Long non-coding RNA from Falco peregrinus (peregrine falcon), 790 nucleotides. RefSeq lists it as uncharacterized. The record is from RefSeq and is a predicted model, not a curated record. The transcript has 3 exons. Lineage: Eukaryota; Metazoa; Chordata; Aves; Falconiformes; Falconidae.